Molecule: ribosomal RNA, 320 nt
Filed under: Paracynorta confluens
Lineage: Eukaryota; Metazoa; Arthropoda; Arachnida; Opiliones; Cosmetidae
Description: partial small subunit ribosomal RNA
Source: RNAcentral
CCCUAGUAUGAAAAAUUUAAUAGGAUUAUUAUUAUGUUAAGAAAUUUAAAAUUUUUGGCGGUUGAUUAUUAUGUUAGAGGAGCUUGUUUUUCAAUAGAAAUUACUCUUUAUAUUUUAUUAAUUUUUGUUUAUAUAUCUCCGUUAUUAGGUGAAACUUUAUAAGCUUUAGUUUAUAUUUCAGGUCAAGAUGUAGCAAUAAUUAAAAAAAAUUAGCUACAGUAAUAAAAUUAUGGAUUGAUAAAAGAAUUAAAUUUUUGUGAAAUUGAAUUUAAUUGUAAUUUAAUUUAUAAUAAUUAAAUGAAAUUUAUGUAAUUUAUGUA